RNAcentral lists this ribosomal RNA (433 nucleotides) under uncultured bacterium. RNAcentral's name for it is "partial 16S ribosomal RNA". It matches the Rfam family "Bacterial small subunit ribosomal RNA", at positions 29 to 507 of the family's 1533-position model. The record is from RNAcentral.
AACGAACGCUGGCGGCAUGCCUAACACAUGCAAGUCGAACGAAGCCUUCGGGCUUAGUGGCGCACGGGUGCGUAACGCCUGGGAAUCUGCCCCUUGCUUCGGAAUAACAGAUAGAAAUGACUGCUAAUACCGGAUGAAGUCUUCGGACCAAAGAUUUAUCGGUAAGGGAUGAGCCCGCGUAGGAUUAGGUAGUUGGUGGGGUAAAGGCCUACCAAGCCGACGAUCCUUAGCUGGUCUGAGAGGAUGAUCAGCCACACUGGGACUGAGACACGGCCCAGACUCCUACGGGAGGCAGCAGUGGGGAAUAUUGGACAAUGGACGCAAGUCUGAUCCAGCAAUGCCGGGUGAGUGAUGAAGGCCUUAGUGUUGUAAAGCUCUUUUACCAGGGAUGAUAAUGACAGUACCGGGAGAAUAAGCUCCGGCUAACUCCGUG